This 253-nucleotide ribosomal RNA is filed under the name uncultured bacterium. Its description in RNAcentral is "partial 16S ribosomal RNA". It matches the Rfam family "Bacterial small subunit ribosomal RNA", at positions 524 to 776 of the family's 1533-position model. The record is from RNAcentral.
GACAGAGGGGGCAAGCGUUGCUCGGAAUUACUGGGCGUAAAGGGCGCGUAGGCGGAAUGGCAAGUCGGUCGUGAAAUCCUUCGGCUCAACCGAAGAACGUCGAUCGAAACUGCCGUUCUUGAGGAUUGCAGAGGAGACUGGAAUUCCCGGUGUAGCGGUGAAAUGUGUAGAGAUCGGGAGGAACACCGGUGGCGAAGGCGGGUCUCUGGGCAACAACUGACGCUGAGGAGCGAAAGCGUGGGGAGCGAACAGG